This 512-nucleotide ribosomal RNA is filed under the name uncultured eukaryote. RNAcentral's name for it is "SSU rRNA". It matches the Rfam family "Eukaryotic small subunit ribosomal RNA", at positions 120 to 638 of the family's 1831-position model. The record is from RNAcentral.
UUUGAUGGUCCUACUCACUCGGAUACCGUAGUAAAUCUAGAGCUAAUACGUGCGCACAUCCCGACUUCUGGAAGGGACGUAUUUAUUAGAUAAAAGGCCGACCGGGCUCUGCCCGCCUCGCGGUGACUCAUGAUAACUUCACGAAUCGCACGGCCUCGUGCCGGCGAUGUUUCAUUCAAAUUUCUGCCCUAUCAACUUUUGAUGGUAGGAUAGAGGCCUACCAUGGUGGUAACGGGUGACGGAGAAUUAGGGUUCGAUUCCGGAGAGGGAGCCUGAGAAACGGCUACCACAUCCAAGGAAGGCAGCAAGCGCGCAAAUUACCCAAUCCUGACACAGGGAGGUAGUGACAAUAAAUAACAAUACCGGGCCUUUGGUCUGGUAAUUGGAAUGAGUACAAUCUAAACCCCUUAACGAGGAUCAAUUGGAGGGCAAGUCUGGUGCCAGCAGCCGCGGUAAUUCCAGCUUCCAAUAGCGUAUAUUUAAGUUGCUGCAGUUAAAAACUCGUANUUGGA